Molecule: ribosomal RNA, 474 nt
Filed under: uncultured bacterium
Lineage: Bacteria
Description: bacterial SSU rRNA
Rfam family: Bacterial small subunit ribosomal RNA
Source: RNAcentral
CGCUAUCACUCCUACGGGGGAGGCAGCAGUAGGGAAUCUUCCACAAUGGGCGCAAGCCUGAUGGAGCAACACCGCGUGAGUGAAGAAGGGUUUCGGCUCGUAAAGCUCUGUUGUUAAAGAAGAACACGUAUGAGAGUAACUGUUCAUACGUUGACGGUAUUUAACCAGAAAGUCACGGCUAACUACGUGCCAGCAGCCGCGGUAAUACGUAGGUGGCAAGCGUUAUCCGGAUUUAUUGGGCGUAAAGAGAGUGCAGGCGGUUUCUAAGUCUGAUGUGAAAGCCUUCGGCUUAACCGGAGAAGUGCAUCGGAAACUGGAUAACUUGAGUGCAGAAGAGGGUAGUGGAACUCCAUGUGUAGCGGUGGAAUGCGUAGAUAUAUGGAAGAACACCAGUGGCGAAGGCGGCUACCUGGUCUGCAACCGACGCUGAGACUCGAAAGCAUGGGUAGCGAACAGGAUUAGAUACCCUGGUAG